Molecule: ribosomal RNA, 279 nt
Filed under: uncultured bacterium
Lineage: Bacteria
Description: partial 16S ribosomal RNA
Rfam family: Bacterial small subunit ribosomal RNA
Source: RNAcentral
UGCCAGCCGCCGCGGUAAUACGGAGGGCGCAAGCGUUGUUCGGAAUUAUUGGGCGUAAAGCGCGUGUAGGCGGUUCGUUAAGUCUGAUGUGAAAGCCCCGGGCUCAACCUGGGAUGGUCAUUUAGAACUGGCAGACUAGAGUCUUGGAGAGGUAAGCGGAAUUCCUAGUGUAGCGGUGAAAUGCGUAGAUAUUAGGAGGAACACCAGUGGCGAAGGCGGCUUACUGGGCUGUAACUGACACUGAGGCUCGAAAGCGUGGGGAGCAAACAGGAUUAGAUA